Long non-coding RNA from Nothoprocta perdicaria, 78 nucleotides. RefSeq lists it as uncharacterized. Lineage: Eukaryota; Metazoa; Chordata; Aves; Tinamiformes; Tinamidae. The transcript is spliced from 2 exons. The record is from RefSeq and is a predicted model, not a curated record.
AAGAGACUCAAUGAGGACUGAAUAAUGAAAUUGUGCUAUUAGAAGGUUAUGAAGAAUGGAAGAGGACCAAACAAACCU